Molecule: ribosomal RNA, 686 nt
Filed under: Staphylococcus sp.
Lineage: Bacteria; Bacillati; Bacillota; Bacilli; Caryophanales; Staphylococcaceae
Description: bacterial SSU rRNA
Rfam family: Bacterial small subunit ribosomal RNA
Source: RNAcentral
GUGCGUAAUACAUGCAAGUCGAGCGAACAGACGAGGAGCUUGCUCCUUUGACGUUAGCGGCGGACGGGUGAGUAACACGUAGGUAACCUACCUAUAAGACUGGGAUAACUUCGGGACACCGGAGCUAAUACCGGAUAAUAUUUCGAACCGCAUGGUUCGAUAGUGAAAGAUGGCUUUGCUAUCACUAAUAGAUGGACCUGCGCCGUAUUAGCUAGUUGGUAAGGUAACGGCUUACCAAGGCAACGAUACGUAGCCGACCUGAGAGGGUGAUCGGCCACACUGGAACUGAGACACGGUCCAGACUCCUACGGGAGGCAGCAGUAGGGAAUCUUCCGCAAUGGGCGAAAGCCUGACGGAGCAACGCCGCGUGAGUGAUGAAGGUCUUCGGAUCGUAAAACUCUGUUAUUAGGGAAGAACAAACGUGUAAGUAACUGUGCACGUCUUGACGGUACCUAAUCAGAAAGCCACGGCUAACUACGUGCCAGCAGCCGCGGUAAUACGUAGGUGGCAAGCGUUAUCCGGAAUUAUUGGGCGUAAAGCGCGCGUAGGCGGUUUUUUAAGUCUGAUGUGAAAGCCCACGGCUCAACCGUGGAGGGUCAUUGGAAACUGGAAAACUUGAGUGCAGAAGAGGAAAGUGGAAUUCCAUGUGUAGCGGUGAAAUGCGCAGAGAUAUGGAGGAACACCAG